UUCCGGUUGAUCCUGCCAGAGGUCACUGCUAUCGGGGUUCGAUUAAGCCAUGCGAGUCGAGAGGGUUCGGCCCUCGGCGUACUGCUCAGUAACACGUGGAUAACCUGCCCUAGGGGAGGGGAUAACCCCGGGAAACUGGGGAUAAUACCCUAUAGGUUACAGAUGCUGGAAUGCCCUGUAACCAAAAGCUCCGGCGCCCUAGGAUGGAUCUGCGGCCGAUUAGGUUGUUGUUGGGGUAACGGCCCAACAAGCCCGUAAUCGGUACGGGUUGUGGGAGCAAGAGCCCGGAGUUGGAUUCUGAGACACGAAUCCAGGCCCUACGGGGCGCAGCAGGCGCGAAACCUUUACAAUGCGGGCAACCGUGAUAAGGGAACCUCGAGUGCCUGUAAACGCAGGCUGUUCAGGUGUUUAAAACGCACCUGGAGAAAGGGCCGGGCAAGACCGGUGCCAGCCGCCGCGGUAAUACCGGCGGCUCGAGUGGUGGCCGCUUUUAUUGGGCUUAAAGCGUUCGUAGCUGGGUUGUUAAGUCUCUUGGGAAAUCUGGCGGCUUAACCGUCAGGCGUCUAAGGGAUACUGGCAAUCUUGGAACCGGGAGAGGUGAGGGGUACUUCGGGGGUAGGGGUGAAAUCCUGUAAUCCUCGAGGGACCACCUGUGGCGAAGCGCCUCACCAGAACGGCUUCGACAGUGAGGGACGAAAGCUGGGGGGAGCAAACCGGAUUAGAUACCCGGGUAGUCCCAGCCGUAAACGAUGCGCGU
RNAcentral lists this ribosomal RNA (757 nucleotides) under uncultured archaeon. RNAcentral's name for it is "bacterial SSU rRNA". It matches the Rfam family "Archaeal small subunit ribosomal RNA", at positions 1 to 767 of the family's 1478-position model. The record is from RNAcentral.